This 444-nucleotide ribosomal RNA is filed under the name uncultured bacterium. RNAcentral's name for it is "bacterial SSU rRNA". It matches the Rfam family "Bacterial small subunit ribosomal RNA", at positions 28 to 473 of the family's 1533-position model. The record is from RNAcentral.
GAUGAACGCUAGCGGCAGGCCUAACACAUGCAAGUCGAGGGGUAGAGUUCUUCGGGACUUGAGACCGGCGCACGGGUGCGUAACGCGUAUGCAAUCUACCUUAUACAGGGGAAUAGCCCAGAGAAAUUUGGAUUAAUGCCCCAUAGUGUUAUCGAAUCGCAUGGUUUGAUAACUAAAGUUCCAACGGUAUAAGAUGAGCAUGCGUCCCAUUAGUUAGUUGGUAAGGUAACGGCUUACCAAGACAAUGAUGGGUAGGGGUCCUGAGAGGGAGAUCCCCACACUGGUACUGAGACACGGACCAGACUCCUACGGGAGGCAGCAGUGAGGAAUAUUGGACAAUGGGCGUAAGCCUGAUCCAGCCAUGCCGCGUGCAGGAAGAAGCAUCUAAUGGUGUGUAAACUGCUUUUAUACAGGAAGAAACACUCCCUCGUGAGGGAGCUUGAC